AAACCAGCACCUCAAGUGGUCAGGAUGAUUAUUGGGCCUAAAGCAUCCGUAGCCGGCUCUGUAAGUUUUCGGUUAAAUCUGUACGCUUAACAUACAGGCUGCCGGGAAUACUGCAGAGCUAGGGAGUGGGAGAGGUAGACGGUACUCGGGAGGAAGUGGUAAAAUGCUUUGAUCUCUCGAUGACCACCUGUGGCGAAGGCGGUCUACCAGAACACGUCCGACGGUGAGGGAUGAAAGCUGGGGGAGCAAACCGGAUUAGAAACCCGAGUAGUCC
Molecule: ribosomal RNA, 274 nt
Filed under: uncultured bacterium
Lineage: Bacteria
Description: partial 16S ribosomal RNA
Rfam family: Archaeal small subunit ribosomal RNA
Source: RNAcentral